AGGUAAUAUAACCAAUAUAUGUUGGCAGUCGUCAUAAAUUAAAGAAGCUCGCCCCAUAAUCGUAAACACCCGAUAACUUUCACUUGUCUUACAAAAUCUAUAUACCGCCGUCAAGAAUUUACCUAUAUAAAAACUCUAACCCUAUUAACAGUUAAAGUCAGGUCAAGGUGUAGUACAUAGUCAAGAACAGGUAAGCUACACAUAAAUAAAAAUUAAGGAUAUUAUACAUAAGUUAUAUGGAAAAAGAAUUUAUACGUAAAUAAUAAUUAAAAUC
This 274-nucleotide ribosomal RNA is filed under the name Panjange lanthana. RNAcentral describes it as "partial 12S ribosomal RNA". The record is from RNAcentral. Lineage: Eukaryota; Metazoa; Arthropoda; Arachnida; Araneae; Pholcidae.